GGAGGGCCAUAGCUCAGUGGAAGAGUGUCUGCCUUGCAAGCAGAAGGUCCUGAGUUCAAUCCCCGGCAUCUCCU
This is a non-coding RNA of Podarcis lilfordi (Lilford's wall lizard), 74 nucleotides long. The record is from the annotation of a GenBank genome assembly. NCBI's taxonomy places the organism in Eukaryota, Metazoa, Chordata, Lepidosauria, Squamata, Lacertidae.